Molecule: unclassified non-coding RNA, 1715 nt
Filed under: Hevea brasiliensis (rubber tree)
Lineage: Eukaryota; Viridiplantae; Streptophyta; Magnoliopsida; Malpighiales; Euphorbiaceae
Source: RNAcentral
CUCUUUGUGAAUAUGCAUCUCCCCAGGGAGAUUGAGCUUUUCAUCCCUGCAAAUGAAAAUAAAAAGUUCAUUUCAUGCAAAUUUUGUUAAAUUAAUGCCAAUUUUGUCAUGGUUAAAUGAUGAUGACACUAUUGAGGAGCCAAGGCCACAACCUUUAUGGGUAGCUAGCAAUCAAUAGAAGUCUCAAAGUAUAAAUGAAACUGACUGGUAGUCGCUCUUAAGCAUAGGUCAUUUAUACUGUGCUAUCACAUAAAUACAGAAAAAUUCACAUUGACAAACAAAUCUUCUGAUCCAUCUUUUUUAUUAAAUAACAUACCAAUCAGGUUGCAUGAAUAAUGCAAAUGUUGAUCAGUCAACACCAGAAGCCUCCUCUCCUUUAGGUGCCUGAGAAACAAACACCAGACUGUUCAAUAUUAGUACUCCAUACCAGCCUAACGACAAACCAGCAGAGCAAAGAAAAAGAUCGGAAAAAAGAUCCUUAUUUCCACCAGUUAGGCACAAUGCAACUUGCCUUGAUGUAGGUACUAAUAACUGAGUUUAUUUGCUGAUUUCAGACAGAAGAAUUUGUGCUCUACUUAUUAAGUUAAUUAUGUAACAUCUCUCACAAUUUCUCUUCAUAUUUGAAAAAUCACUAAUUUAAAACGUGUCUUACAUUUGGAACUUCAUUGAUUGCAUGAGGAAGAGACAGUUUUUAACUAAAAUUGCAUACAAAGGAAAACUUUGCUAUUGUCUCGUAGAACCACAAAUUGAAGGUCAUCUAGUUAUAGUUGAGAUCAAAGUAACAUUGUUGGGCUCUGUAGAACUGGUGUACUGCACAUAACAUGCUACAAUACAAGAGAACCCAAAAAUUCUAUGAGAUCAAAUUCUAGGAAAUACCCGGACACAGUGAGGGGUUGCACAAAGAUAACCUCUUGACAGUAUUUCAGCAGUUUCUCCAAUUUGGUAUGUUAUCUCAUCUUCUCCAAAGACAACCAAAUGCAUAAGAAACAAACAGGUUCAUAGACCAUCCAAAAUUUACAUUUUUGGAAAAAGACAGUCUAAAGCAUAAAUAACAAUCAUCAUUCAAGCUGACUAAAUGGCCUGAACUUUGCAGAUGCAUCAUGUGAAGCGCCCAUUCAAUUUUAAUUUUUCAUCAGAAUUCUCACACACUGGCAAGGGGUUGGCAAAAGGUAGGUGUUCAAUUAAAAACAUUUAGUUCCAAAUAGAGGAAAAGCAAGACAGUGAUACUUUUUCAGAAGCAAAUGUAUCUCAUUCCUCAGUCUCACAGUGGGAAGUUUAUUGGGUGCUUUUGGUGCACUAAAAAAAUAGUGCACCGACCAUUCACAUAUAUGUGGGACCUUUAACAAAUAAUGAAAGUUGGAUCAUACAUUUUCGUGAAUGAUGGUGCAGUGGCAUCCGGAGUAUUUUAUAAUUUCACAUCUGACAGAAGGCACCCUGUCAAGCUACACAAAUCCUGUUACAUUUUUGUAUGCUCUAAUAAUUCACAGCUCUCAAGAUCAAAUGAAGAAGCUUGAUUUAAAAUUGCGUUUAUGAUCUGCAAUGGAUAAUUUUCUCAAGUUUCCUUUGAGGAGACUGUCAUGUAGCAGGGUUCUCAGUGAUUCCAAAGCUCCAGAACCUGAAGAAGGAGGAGGAAAGGAAGAGAAGCAGAGGGAAGAAACACAGCAGGGAAGGGGAAGAACGAGAGGAAGAAAAGAGGGAGAAGGGGAGAGAGAGAG